GACGAACGCUGGCGGCGUGCUUAACACAUGCAAGUCGAGCGGUAAGGCCUUUCGGGGUACACGAGCGGCGAACGGGUGAGUAACACGUGGGUGAUCUGCCCUGCACUUCGGGAUAAGCCUGGGAAACUGGGUCUAAUACCGGAUAUGACUUCAGGUUGCAUGACUUGGGGUGGAAAGAUUUAUCGGUGCAGGAUGGGCCCGCGGCCUAUCAGCUUGUUGGUGGGGUAAUGGCCUACCAAGGCGACGACGGGUAGCCGACCUGAGAGGGUGACCGGCCACACUGGGACUGAGACACGGCCCAGACUCCUACGGGAGGCAGCAGUGGGGAAUAUUGCACAAUGGGCGAAAGCCUGAUGCAGCGACGCCGCGUGAGGGAUGACGGCCUUCGGGUUGUAAACCUCUUUCAGCAGGGACGAA
This 417-nucleotide ribosomal RNA is filed under the name Rhodococcus erythropolis. RNAcentral's name for it is "bacterial SSU rRNA". It matches the Rfam family "Bacterial small subunit ribosomal RNA", at positions 28 to 449 of the family's 1533-position model. The record is from RNAcentral. Lineage: Bacteria; Bacillati; Actinomycetota; Actinomycetes; Mycobacteriales; Nocardiaceae.